This is a long non-coding RNA of Girardinichthys multiradiatus, 747 nucleotides long. RefSeq lists it as uncharacterized. Lineage: Eukaryota; Metazoa; Chordata; Actinopteri; Cyprinodontiformes; Goodeidae. The transcript is spliced from 2 exons. The record is from RefSeq and is a predicted model, not a curated record.
UGUUUUCUGGUGCUGCUUCCUCCUUCUUUUUAACCAGCGCGCGAGAAGCGGAGCGAGCGCUGUGACGUACGACUCCGCGGGGGCGCGCGUGGUAAGCACGGUCGCGCCCACGUCGAGGUGGAACGUUUACCUGGCAGAUCAUGGAUGGAGGCUGGGGCUGCGGUGCUCCUCGUACUGCUGCCCUGAACAACUUGUGAGUCCAGAAGAAACCCGUUUUGUUUGUUUGUUUAUUUAGAUCGCACGCUUAUCCUUUGACAUCACAAAGUCGAUUACAUUACAGUGCUGGUGUUUUUCUGAAACAUAACAAGGUCUGGGGCUGCGGUACGUGUCCAUGGAUGCUCUGGCUGCAAUGAGGUGGCUUCUUGUGUGGUCUCCCAGCAAACUUUAUGAUUUAUUCAGCUAAAGGCAGAGGAGCACGACCCCCAGUGACCACAGAGAGAGAGCUGCACGUGGGUUUAAUGAUUUCACCACAAAAAUGUCUGCUAUGGCUGGGCCUGCAAAGAGCGGAGAGCCCCCCCACUGGAUGGAUGAGGAGUUAGGGGGUUGAAAGAGAGCCUGGCUGACCGGACUAAGUCAAUUCAAAUCUUACCACUACAUCUGUAGAUGCAGGGAUUAGGAUGGAAGAAGAUGGCAGGAAGCUACAUCCAUUGGCUGGUUGCAAAUGUUUUGAACUCUCAUCUUUCAGCAACUCCUAAGUGUUUCCUCAGAUUGUGUUUUUCUUCAUUAAACAUUCCUUUAAAAAAUGUU